AUUGAACGCUGGCGGCAGGCUUAACACAUGCAAGUCGAGCGGGGGAAGGUAGCUUGCUACCGGACCUAGCGGCGGACGGGUGAGUAAUGCUUAGGAAUCUGCCUAUUAGUGGGGGACAACAUCUCGAAAGGGAUGCUAAUACCGCAUACGUCCUACGGGAGAAAGCAGGGGAUCUUCGGACCUCGCGCUAAUAGAUGAGCCUAAGUCGGACUAGCUAGUUGGUAGGGUAAAGGCCUACCAAGGCAACGAUCCAUAGCUGGUCUGAGAGGAUGAUCAGCCACACUGGGACUGAGACACGGCCCAGACUCCUACGGGAGGCAGCAGUGGGGAAUAUUGGACAAUGGGCGCAAGCCUGAUCCAGCAACGCCGUGUGUGUGAAGAAGGCCUUCGGGUUGUAAAGCACUUUUAGUUGGGAAGAAAAGCUCAAGACUAAUACCCUUGAGUGAUGACGUUACCAACAGAAAAAGCACUGGCUAACUCUGUGCCAGCCGCCGCAGUAA
RNAcentral lists this ribosomal RNA (500 nucleotides) under uncultured bacterium. RNAcentral's name for it is "partial 16S ribosomal RNA". It matches the Rfam family "Bacterial small subunit ribosomal RNA", at positions 30 to 523 of the family's 1533-position model. The record is from RNAcentral.